AUACGGAGGGUGCAAGCGUUGUUCGGAAUCACUAGGCGUAAAGGGCGCGCAGGCGGUUUGGUAAGUCAGAUGUGAAAGCCCAUGGCUCAACCAUGGAAGUGCAUUUGAAACUGUCAGACUUGAGUACUGGAGGGGAAAGUGGAAUUCCCGGUGUAGAGGUGAAAUUCGUAGAUAUCGGGAGGAAUACCGGUGGCGAAGGCGACUUUCUGGCUAGAUACUGACGCUGAGGCGCGAAAGCGUGGGGAGCAAACAGAAUUAGAUACCCGAGUAGUCC
RNAcentral lists this ribosomal RNA (274 nucleotides) under uncultured bacterium. Its description in RNAcentral is "partial 16S ribosomal RNA". It matches the Rfam family "Bacterial small subunit ribosomal RNA", at positions 523 to 796 of the family's 1533-position model. The record is from RNAcentral.